GCGAACGCUGGCGGCAGGCCUAACACCUGCCAGUCGAACGAACUCUUCGGAGUUAGUGGCGGACGGGUGAGUAACACGUGGGAACGUGCCUUUUGGUUCGGAAUAACUCAGGGAAACUUGUGCUAAUACCGAAUGUGCCCUUCGGGGGAAAGAUUUAUCGCCAUUAGAGCGGCCCGCGUCUGAUUAGCUAGUUGGUGAGGUAACGGCUCACCAAGGCGACGAUCAGUAGCUGGUCUGAGAGGAUGACCAGCCACACUGGGACUGAGACACGGCCCAGACUCCUACGGGAGGCAGCAGUGGGGAAUCUUGCGCAAUGGGCGAAAGCCUGACGCAGCCAUGCCGCGUGAAUGAUGAAGGUCUUAGGAUUGUAAAAUUCUUUCACCGGGGACGAUAAUGACGGUACCCGGAGAAGAAGCCCCGGCUAACUUCGUG
RNAcentral lists this ribosomal RNA (432 nucleotides) under uncultured bacterium. RNAcentral describes it as "partial 16S ribosomal RNA". It matches the Rfam family "Bacterial small subunit ribosomal RNA", at positions 29 to 507 of the family's 1533-position model. The record is from RNAcentral.